ACAAUGUAUUUACUUUGACCCUUUGACAAAAAUGUAAAAAAUUCAAAAAAUUUGAACCAACCGUUUAAUUAGAAAAAUUACACUGGUUAUAUAGCAGUUUGACAAACACUUAUUUUGAUCAUUGAGAAGCUUAAUAUACCCUUAACAACACAACGUCAUUAAAACGUUCUGCUGAUUUUACAGAGUUAUCUCCCUGUAGUGUUAGGUACCACCUUAAGUAAAAAAUU
This 227-nucleotide long non-coding RNA is filed under the name Mytilus galloprovincialis (Mediterranean mussel). The record is from RNAcentral. Lineage: Eukaryota; Metazoa; Mollusca; Bivalvia; Mytilida; Mytilidae.